RNAcentral lists this ribosomal RNA (242 nucleotides) under uncultured bacterium. RNAcentral's name for it is "partial 16S ribosomal RNA". It matches the Rfam family "Bacterial small subunit ribosomal RNA", at positions 100 to 334 of the family's 1533-position model. The record is from RNAcentral.
CCGGCACGGGUGAGUAACACGUAUGCAAUCCACCUGUAACAGGGGGAGUAACCCGGAGAAAUCCGGACUAAUACCCCAUAAUAUGGGCGCUCCGCAUGGAGAGUCCAUUAAAGAGAGCAAUCUUGGUUACAGACGAGCAUGCGCUCCAUUAGCCAGUUGGCGGGGUAACGGCCCACCAAGGCGACGAUGGAUAGGGGUUCUGAGAGGAAGGUCCCCCACAUUGGAACUGAGACACGGUCCAA